This 492-nucleotide ribosomal RNA is filed under the name uncultured bacterium. Its description in RNAcentral is "partial 16S ribosomal RNA". It matches the Rfam family "Bacterial small subunit ribosomal RNA", at positions 29 to 507 of the family's 1533-position model. The record is from RNAcentral.
AGUGAACGCUGGCGGUAGGCUUAACACAUGCAAGUCGAACGGCAGCACAGUAAUAGCUUGCUCUUACGGGUGGCGAGUGGCGGAUGGGUGAUGAAUACAUCGGCAUCUACUUUUUCGUGGGGGUUAACGUAGGGAAACUUUCGCUAAUAUUACAUUCGACCUACGGGUUAAAGCUAGGGAACCUCGGACCUCGCGCGAUUGACUGUGCCGAUGUCGGAUUAGCUAGUUGGCGGGGAAAAGGCCCACCAAGGCGACGGUCCGUAGCUGGUCUGAGAGGAUGAGCAGCCACACUGGAACUGAGACACGGCCCAGACUCCUACGGGAAGGAGCAGUGGGGAAUAGGGGACAAUGGGCGCAAGCCUGAUCCAGCCAUACCGCGUGGGUGAAGAAGGACUUCUGGUUGUAAAGCCCUUUUGUUGGGAAAGAAAAGCAGCAUGUUAAUACCCCGCUGUUCUGACGGUACCAAAAGAAGAAGCACCGGCUAACUUCGUG